RNAcentral lists this unclassified non-coding RNA (213 nucleotides) under Hevea brasiliensis (rubber tree). The record is from RNAcentral. Lineage: Eukaryota; Viridiplantae; Streptophyta; Magnoliopsida; Malpighiales; Euphorbiaceae.
UUUGCCAUGUUCAAGGACAUGCUAAGGAGCAGAAGCAUAAACAUCAGCACAGUCAUAUUGUAAUCCAAUAAUGCAUGAAUAAAACUUAUAAAGGACAACUCUGCAAAAUAUAGAAAAUAUAACUCUGAAAUCUUAAAGUACUAAAAUAAUUUAAUAAAAAUCAUAAUGAUGAUACUUAAAAAUGAAACCUAGAAAGAUUUUUUUUAAAAAAAA